GACGAACGCUGGCGGCGUGCUUAACACAUGCAAGUCGAACGGAAAGGCCCUGCUUGCAGGGUACUCGAGUGGCGAACGGGUGAGUAACACGUGGGUGAUCUGCCCUGCACUUCGGGAUAAGCUUGGGAAACUGGGUCUAAUACCGGAUAGGAGCCAUCUUUAGUGUGGUGGUUGGAAAGUUUUUUCGGUGUAGGAUGAGCUCGCGGCCUAUCAGCUUGUUGGUGGGGUAAUGGCCUACCAAGGCGGCGACGGGUAGCCGGCCUGAGAGGGUGUACGGCCACAUUGGGACUGAGAUACGGCCCAGACUCCUACGGGAGGCAGCAAUGAGGAAUAUUGCACAAUGGGCGCAAGCCUGAUGCAGCGACGCCGCGUGGGGGAUGAAGGCCUUCGGGUUGUAAACUCCUUUCGCUAGGGACGAAGCUUUGUUGUGACGGUACCUAGAUAAGAAGCACCGGCUAACUACGUG
This 466-nucleotide ribosomal RNA is filed under the name uncultured bacterium. Its description in RNAcentral is "partial 16S ribosomal RNA". It matches the Rfam family "Bacterial small subunit ribosomal RNA", at positions 28 to 507 of the family's 1533-position model. The record is from RNAcentral.